This 253-nucleotide ribosomal RNA is filed under the name uncultured bacterium. RNAcentral describes it as "partial 16S ribosomal RNA". It matches the Rfam family "Bacterial small subunit ribosomal RNA", at positions 524 to 776 of the family's 1533-position model. The record is from RNAcentral.
GACGUAGGGCGCGAGCGUUGUCCGGAUUUAUUGGGCGUAAAGAGCUCGUAGGCGGUUUGUCGCGUCGUCCGUGAAAACUCACAGCUUAACCGUGAGCUUGCGGUCGAUACGGGCAGGCUAGAGUUCGGUAGGGGAGACUGGAAUUCCUGGUGUAGCGGUGAAAUGCGCAGAUAUCAGGAGGAACACCGGUGGCGAAGGCGGGUCUCUGGGCCGAUACUGACGCUGAGGAGCGAAAGCGUGGGGAGCGAACAGG